UACGUAGGGUGCGAGCGUUAAUCGGAAUUACUGGGCGUAAAGCGUGCGCAGGCGGUUCGCUGUGUCCGAUGUGAAAGCCCCGGGCUUAACCUGGGAAUGGCAUUGGAAACUGGCGGGCUUGAGUGCGGCAGAGGGGGGUGGAAUUCCGCGUGUAGCAGUGAAAUGCGUAGAGAUGCGGAGGAACACCGAUGGCGAAGGCAGCCCCCUGGGUCGACACUGACGCCUCAGGCACGAAAGCGUGGGGAGCAAACAGG
Molecule: ribosomal RNA, 254 nt
Filed under: uncultured bacterium
Lineage: Bacteria
Description: partial 16S ribosomal RNA
Rfam family: Bacterial small subunit ribosomal RNA
Source: RNAcentral